UGCGCAGGUGGCUUCUGGGAGCCAAGGCAACUGAGGUUUUCCCAGGCUCCUUGAGAGAGUGCCCUAUUUCCCCGGCAGCAGUAGCUCCAGGGUCCCGCUCUGCAGUCCGUAAUGAGAGGCCUCGGGCUCCGCGGGGAAGUGUCGCAGUUGGUGGAAGAGUCCCGAGCAGCAGCAAAUCUGCUCGCUCCCCGCGGGGCCGCCGCUCUCGCUCGCACUCUUGCUCUCGGUCCGGGAACCGGAAUGGCCUGGGCCCCCAGCGGAGUGGCCUCAGCCUGGCCUCCCGGAACCAGCCCUGCCGACCCGUUCGCGGUCACGUUCUCCGGAGCGGCCCCCUGCGCCGCGGGGCACCCCCUUCGCCUCUGCCUCCUCGUCCGCCUGUCGCGGCCGCUCCCCGCGCCCCUCCGGGACCGAUAAGCCGUGGGUCUCUGGGACAAGGAGAGGGAGCUCAGCUUUGAUGAACACACACCAGUAGAGACGAAGAGCUGAAGAAAAGCACCACUUCUGUUUCUACUUCAAAAGAAGAAGAAGAGGAAGUCUAGUCAUUCAAAAGAAAGGUCCAAGAAAAAGAGAAAGAAAAAAUCAUCUAAAAGAAAACGCAAGAAGUAUUCUGACAGCGACAGUGACUCUGACUCUGAAACAGACUCCAGU
Prionailurus viverrinus (fishing cat) is the source of this 648-nucleotide long non-coding RNA. RefSeq lists it as uncharacterized. NCBI's taxonomy places the organism in Eukaryota, Metazoa, Chordata, Mammalia, Carnivora, Felidae. The record is from RefSeq and is a predicted model, not a curated record. The transcript has 3 exons.